UACGUAGGUGGCAAGCGUUGUCCGGAAUUAUUGGGCGUAAAGCGCGCGCAGGCGGUCCUUUAAGUCUGAUGUGAAAGCCCACGGCUCAACCGUGGAGGGUCAUUGGAAACUGGGGGACUUGAGUGCAGAAGAGGAAAGUGGAAUUCCAUGUGUAGCGGUGAAAUGCGUAGAGAUAUGGAGGAACACCAGUGGCGAAGGCGACUUUCUGGUCUGUAACUGACACUGAGGCGCGAAAGCGUGGGGAGCAAACAGG
This 253-nucleotide ribosomal RNA is filed under the name uncultured bacterium. RNAcentral's name for it is "partial 16S ribosomal RNA". It matches the Rfam family "Bacterial small subunit ribosomal RNA", at positions 524 to 776 of the family's 1533-position model. The record is from RNAcentral.